This 474-nucleotide ribosomal RNA is filed under the name bacterium SNB-CN93. Its description in RNAcentral is "bacterial SSU rRNA". It matches the Rfam family "Bacterial small subunit ribosomal RNA", at positions 37 to 528 of the family's 1533-position model. The record is from RNAcentral.
UGGSGGGCUGCUUACACAUGCAAGUCGAACGAUGAAGCCCUUCGGGGUGGAUUAGUGGCGAACGGGUGAGUAACACGUGGGCAAUCUGCCCUGCACUCUGGGACAAGCCCUGGAAACGGGGUCUAAUACCGGAUAUGACCAUCUUGGGCAUCCUUGAUGGUGUAAAGCUCCGGCGGUGCAGGAUGAGCCCGCGGCCUAUCAGCUUGUUGGUGAGGUAAUGGCUCACCAAGGCGACGACGGGUAGCCGGCCUGAGAGGGCGACCGGCCACACUGGGACUGAGACACGGCCCAGACUCCUACGGGAGGCAGCAGUGGGGAAUAUUGCACAAUGGGCGAAAGCCUGAUGCAGCGACGCCGCGUGAGGGAUGACGGCCUUCGGGUUGUAAACCUCUUUCAGCAGGGAAGAAGCGAAAGUGACGGUACCUGCAGAAGAAGCGCCGGCUAACUACGUGCCAGCAGCCGCGGGUAAUACAA